AUUGAACGCUGGCGGUAGGCUUAACACAUGCAAGUCGAACGAGUGGCGGACGGGUGAGUAAUGCUUGGGAAUCUAGCUUAUGGAGGGGGAUAACUACGGGAAACUGUAGCUAAUACCGCGUACCAUAGGAUGAGCCCAUGUCGGAUUAGGUAGUUGGUGGGGUAAAGGCCCACCAAGCCGACGAUCUCUAGCUGGUCUGAGAGGAUGACCAGCCACACUGGAACUGAGACACGGCCCAGACUCCUACGGGAGGCAGCAGUGGGGAAUAUGGCGCAAUGGGGGCAACCCUGACGCAGCCAUGCCGCGUGUGUGAAGAAGGCCUUCGGGUUGUAAAGCACUUUUAGUGGGGAGGCGUUACCCAAAGAAUAAGCACCGGCUAACUCCGUGCCAGCAGCCGCGGUAAUUC
RNAcentral lists this ribosomal RNA (406 nucleotides) under uncultured bacterium. Its description in RNAcentral is "partial 16S ribosomal RNA". It matches the Rfam family "Bacterial small subunit ribosomal RNA", at positions 30 to 526 of the family's 1533-position model. The record is from RNAcentral.